AGCUUUGUGCUGUGGCAGUAUCGUAGCCAAUGAGGUUUAUCCGAGGUGCGAUUAUUGCUAAUUGAAAAAUGCUCAAUUUCAAAAAAAAUAAUAAAAAAAAAGAAAAAUGCUCAAUUUCAUUAAGGUUUCAUAAAAA
Molecule: small nuclear RNA, 136 nt
Organism: Nycticebus coucang (slow loris)
Lineage: Eukaryota; Metazoa; Chordata; Mammalia; Primates; Lorisidae
Product: U4 spliceosomal RNA
Exons: 1
Source: RefSeq, a predicted model, not a curated record